This 1392-nucleotide ribosomal RNA is filed under the name Streptomyces sp. ANMon15. RNAcentral's name for it is "bacterial SSU rRNA". It matches the Rfam family "Bacterial small subunit ribosomal RNA". The record is from RNAcentral. Lineage: Bacteria; Bacillati; Actinomycetota; Actinomycetes; Kitasatosporales; Streptomycetaceae.
AACACAUGCAAGUCGAACGAUGAACCACUUCGGUGGGGAUUAGUGGCGAACGGGUGAGUAACACGUGGGCAAUCUGCCCUGCACUCUGGGACAAGCCCUGGAAACGGGGUCUAAUACCGGAUACUGAUCCUCGCAGGCAUCUGCGAGGUUCGAAAGCUCCGGCGGUGCAGGAUGAGCCCGCGGCCUAUCAGCUAGUUGGUGAGGUAACGGCUCACCAAGGCGACGACGGGUAGCCGGCCUGAGAGGGCGACCGGCCACACUGGGACUGAGACACGGCCCAGACUCCAACGGGAGGCAGCAGUGGGGAAUAUUGCACAAUGGGCGAAAGCCUGAUGCAGCGACGCCGCGUGAGGGAUGACGGCCUUCGGGUUGUAAACCUCUUUCAGCAGGGAAGAAGCGAAAGUGACGGUACCUGCAGAAGAAGCGCCGGCUAACUACGUGCCCAGCCGCGGUAAUACGUAGGGCGCAAGCGUUGUCCGGAAUUAUUGGGCGUAAAGAGCUCGUAGGCGGCUUGUCACGUCGGUUGUGAAAGCCCGGGGCUUAACCCCGGGUCUGCAGUCGAUACGGGCAGGCUAGAGUUCGGUAGGGGAGAUGCAAUUCCUGGUGUAGCGGUGAAAUGCGCAGAUACAGGAGGAACACCGGUGGCGAAGGCGGAUCUCUGGGCCGAUACUGACGCUGAGGAGCGAAAGCGUGGGGAGCGAACAGGAUUAGAUACCCUGGUAGUCCACGCCGUAAACGGUGGGCACUAGGUGUGGGCAACAUUCCACGUUGUCCGUGCCGCAGCUAACGCAUUAAGUGCCCCGCCUGGGGAGUACGGCCGCAAGGCUAAAACUCAAAGGAAUUGACGGGGGCCCGCACAAGCGGCGGAGCAUGUGGCUUAAUUCGACGCAACGCGAAGAACCUUACCAAGGCUUGACAUACACCGGAAAACCCUGGAGACAGGGUCCCCCUUGUGGUCGGUGUACAGGUGGUGCAUGGCUGUCGUCAGCUCGUGUCGUGAGAUGUUGGGUUAAGUCCCGCAACGAGCGCAACCCUUGUCCCGUGUUGCCAGCAGGCCCUUGUGGUGCUGGGGACUCUCGGGAGACCGCCGGGGUCAACUCGGAGGAAGGUGGGGACGACGUCAAGUCAUCAUGCCCCUUAUGUCUUGGGCUGCACACGUGCUACAAUGGCCGGUACAAUGAGCUGCGAUACCGCGAGGUGGAGCGAAUCUCAAAAAGCCGGUCUCAGUUCGGAUUGGGGUCUGAACUCGACCCCAUGAAGUCGGAGUCGCUAGUAAUCGCAGAUCAGCAUUGCUGCGGUGAAUACGUUCCCGGGCCUUGUACACACCGCCCGUCACGUCACGAAAGUCGGUAACACCCGAAGCCGGUGGCCCAACCCCUUGUGGGAGGGAGC